CUGUGCAUGAUACCCGUACGUCGUAUCUAGGUAUCCGUAGAGUUUUUUCUUGUUUUCUGGCGGACGGGUGAGUAACACGUGGGAACGUGCCUUUAGGUUCGGAAUAGCUCCUGGAAACGGGUGGUAAUGCCGAAUGUGCCCUUCGGGGGAAAGAUUUAUCGCCUUUAGAGCGGCCCGCGUCUGAUUAGCUAGUUGGUGAGGUAACGGCUCACCAAGGCGACGAUCAGUAGCUGGUCUGAGAGGAUGACCAGCCACACUGGGACUGAGACACGGCCCAGACUCCUACGGGAGGCAGCAGUGGGGAAUCUUGCGCAAUGGGCGAAAGCCUGACGCAGCCAUGCCGCGUGAAUGAUGAAGGUCUUAGGAUUGUAGAGUUCUGUCACCGGGGACGAUAAUGACGGUACCCGGAGAAGAAGCCCCGGCUAACUUCGUGCCAGCAGCCGCGGUAAUACGAAGGGGGCUAGCGUUGCUCGGAAUUACUGGGCGUAAAGGGCGCGUAGCAAUCGUUAAUCAGAGGUGAAAUCCCAGGGGCUCAACCCUGGAACUGCCUUUGAUAC
This 557-nucleotide ribosomal RNA is filed under the name Caulobacteraceae bacterium HPC 635. RNAcentral describes it as "bacterial SSU rRNA". It matches the Rfam family "Bacterial small subunit ribosomal RNA", at positions 43 to 633 of the family's 1533-position model. Lineage: Bacteria; Pseudomonadati; Pseudomonadota; Alphaproteobacteria; Caulobacterales; Caulobacteraceae. The record is from RNAcentral.